Molecule: long non-coding RNA, 722 nt
Filed under: Numida meleagris (helmeted guineafowl)
Lineage: Eukaryota; Metazoa; Chordata; Aves; Galliformes; Numididae
Description: lncRNA (ENSNMEG00000018849.1)
Source: RNAcentral
GUGGAAGAAAUCUCUAAAAUUGCUAUUUUACAGCAACCUUUGCUCAUUUUCCUGCAAAUUAAAGACAGACUUUGUUUUCUCUCUGUUUUUUUAAAUUCAGUCAGAGAUGGCUUCACCAUGGAGUCACGCACAUGAGAACACUAGACUGUGGUCCCACACAUUGACUGUAAUGGUUUUCCCAUGUACCCUGGCUCCUGGUUGAUCCGGAGGUUUUAAAACAGACCUUUAAGCUACAGGGUUUUCCUUGCCCUUUGAGAAACAUCUUGCUUGAAUCAAGAAAAGUCAUCCAUCCUAUGUCUUCUUGUACAGAUCUUACCUAUCCCAGACGAGCAUUGGUCAACGGCCUGGAUCCCAUAUACCUCAAGACUGUGGGAAGUCUGAAUGAUAGGGUCUGGGCCACCAAUAUGAGAAUCCCUACCAAUUUUGAGUGCUCUGUGGGAAAGCUAAUGCAGCAAGAGCAUGAAAAAAAAUUGAGGAUGGCACAUGAUACAGAAAGCAGAAAGGAACCCAAGAGGAAGUCACACAUCAUGGAUCCAUGGAGCCCAACAUCACUGGGCUGUGUUGCCAAGAUGGCACAGCUCAGGCGUUGCUGCUGGAAGUGCUGGCACUUAGCUCCGGGAAAUCAGUGGGACUCACUGUGGAGCAAAGUAUUAUCAGCGAGAUAUUUUAAUGAAGACAUAUAUUCUUUAAUAACUGAGGCUUUGUAUCCACAAGUGUGUUCA